This 71-nucleotide transfer RNA is filed under the name Candidatus Aenigmarchaeota archaeon ex4484_52. Its description in RNAcentral is "tRNA-Gly". It matches the Rfam family "tRNA". From Rfam's summary of the family: Transfer RNA (tRNA) molecules are approximately 80 nucleotides in length. Lineage: Archaea; Nanobdellati; Candidatus Aenigmatarchaeota. The record is from RNAcentral. RNAcentral also lists the same sequence under 1 other name.
GCGAUAGUAGUCUAGAGGUAUGAUUUCGCCUUGCCAAGGCGAGGGCCCGGGUUCGAUUCCCGGCUAUCGCA